Molecule: ribosomal RNA, 164 nt
Filed under: Anemone raddeana
Lineage: Eukaryota; Viridiplantae; Streptophyta; Magnoliopsida; Ranunculales; Ranunculaceae
Description: 5.8S ribosomal RNA
Rfam family: 5.8S ribosomal RNA
About the family: 5.8S ribosomal RNA (5.8S rRNA) is a component of the large subunit of the eukaryotic ribosome. It is transcribed by RNA polymerase I as part of the 45S precursor that also contains 18S and 28S rRNA.
Source: RNAcentral
GACUCUCGGCAACGGAUAUCUCGGCUCUUGCAUCGAUGAAGAACGUAGCGAAAUGCGAUACUUGGUGUGAAUUGCAGAAUCCCGUGAACCAUCGAGUCUUUGAACGCAAUUUGUGCCCAAAGCCUUUUUGGCCAAGGGCACGCCUGCCUGGGCGUCACACACAG